Molecule: ribosomal RNA, 555 nt
Filed under: uncultured bacterium
Lineage: Bacteria
Description: partial 16S ribosomal RNA
Rfam family: Bacterial small subunit ribosomal RNA
Source: RNAcentral
UGGGGAAUUUUGGACAAUGGGCGAAAGCCUGNUCAGCAAUGCCGCGUGUGUGAAGAAGGCCUUCGGGUUGUAAAGCACUUUUGUCCGGAAAGAAAUCCUUGGCUCUAAUACAGUCGGGGGAUGACGGUACCGGAAGAAUAAGCACCGGCUAACUACGUACCAGCAGCCGCGGUAAUACGUAGGGUGCAAGCGUUAAUCGGAAUUACUGGGCGUAAAGCGUGCGCAGGCGGUUUGCUAAGACCGACGUGAAAUCCCCGGGCUCAACCUGGGAACUGCAUUGGUGACUGGCAGGCUAGAGUAUGGCAGGAGGGGGGUAGAAUUCCACGUGUAGCAGUGAAAUGCGUAGAGAUGUGGAGGAAUACCGAUGGCGAAGGCAGCCCCCUGGGGCCAAUACUGACGCUCAUGCACGAAAGCGUGGGGAGCAAACAGGAUUAGAUACCCUGGGUAGUCCACGCCCUAAACGAUGUCAACUAGUUGUUGGGGAUUCAUUCCUUAGUAACGUAGCUAACGCGUGAAGUUGACCGCCUGGGGAGUACGGUCGCAAGAUUAAAACUC